UAGCGAUGGUAUCGGUUUCUAGUCCGCAGAGUCAUCCGGUCGCUUCCCAGGCCCCUUCCAGGAAAUUAACAAGUCCAUUAAACCGGGAACGAAGCGGGAGCCUUCCGUAAACGGGCCGAUUUUUGCAGCACGCCGGAUUUCAGAGUCGUGUCUGGCCGGGUUGGUCGUUUGCGCUCUCGUCGGCUAAUUGCAGAAAUAAUCUGACAACGGGCUUUACAGUUACCGUGGCAAAGUCUCUCUCGAGACCAGGUUUCUUUCGGUCGUCCGCUACGACGGCGUUGCAAAGGAGUUCCGUGGGCGCGGAGGGCUUUUUUCCGCCGAGAGCAGAAAUCACGCCUCGGCCAGCUCGUGAUGCUCCACGCUGCCACCCGUCUGAGAUCUUAUUUAGCGGCGUUAGUGCUUACUUUUGCAAAUUGUGCAACUCCGAAACACUUCUGCAUCUCCGGAUAGACCACCAUGGGAAACGAGAGUUCGUUCACUCUCCGCGUCAGGGUCACUGGAAUUUUCAAAUUCUAUGAAUAUGAUGCAUAGAAUGAAGGAUCUAUUCACAUGGAUGAAGGAUCUUGUGAAAAUCCAGAAAUAAGAACAUGCGAAAAGCACACUAUCCCAAAAAUGGAUUUUAGUUAUGUCGGAUUCGUAUGUGUUUCUUUAAAAGCCGGUGACCGAGUACAAAAAUUUUGUAUGGAAGCAAAGAUGGAUCUUAAUUGUCAAGCCAACUAUAAAGAAUUCCAAUCCACCGAUCCUAGUAUUUUAGGAAACGCAGAAGUUGUGGAUUGUUGCGAUACCGAUUUUUGCAAUACCGCCACAACUUUUAAAUCCUAUUUUGUUUCUUCUUUGAUUGGUAUAUUCUUAUUCAUCAUCAAUAACAUAUCAUAGAGUUUCAAUCUGUUAAAACAAAUUACAAGGAAUAAAUAAAUAAAUGAUCAAUGGUAA
This is a long non-coding RNA of Onthophagus taurus, 933 nucleotides long. RefSeq lists it as uncharacterized. The record is from RefSeq and is a predicted model, not a curated record. Lineage: Eukaryota; Metazoa; Arthropoda; Insecta; Coleoptera; Scarabaeidae.